This 224-nucleotide ribosomal RNA is filed under the name uncultured bacterium. RNAcentral describes it as "partial 16S ribosomal RNA". It matches the Rfam family "Bacterial small subunit ribosomal RNA", at positions 109 to 334 of the family's 1533-position model. The record is from RNAcentral.
CGGAACACGUACGCAAUCUUCCUUUAACUGGAGAAUAGCCCCUCGAAAGAGGGAUUAAUACUCCGUAACAUAUACAUGUGGCAUCACAAGUAUAUUAUAGCUCCGGCGGUUAAAGAUGGGCGUGCGCCUGAUUAGAUAGUUGGCGGGUAACGGCCCACCAAGUCUGCGAUCAGUAACUGGUGUGAGAGCACGACCAGUCACACGGGCACUGAGACACGGGCCCG